Molecule: long non-coding RNA, 678 nt
Filed under: Homo sapiens (human)
Lineage: Eukaryota; Metazoa; Chordata; Mammalia; Primates; Hominidae
Description: long non-coding RNA NONHSAT217690.1
Source: RNAcentral
CACCAGGCGCAGGGCGUGCGUGAAGGAGGGGUCCAGGGAGUCCUUCUCCGCCAUCAGCUCGGGCACGUACUUAUAAGAGAGUAAGGCAGGGGCGCCGUCCUUUCUCCGCGCCUGAGCUCAGAGCGCCAACCUCCUGAGAUCCGCCAGCUCAGAGCCAGCUCAAGUCCCGGCCUCAAUGUCACCUUCCCUGGACAGCCUCUCAGGACCUCCCUGGCAAGUCUCAACUUGCAAGAAGCAGAAAAAUGGCACAGUUAAAAGCAAAGCCUCUGGGGUUAAACAGCCUGGAUUUGGAAUCAUGGAUCUGCUGCUCACUAGCUGUGACCUUGGGCAAGUUUCUUCACCUCAGGGUCCUCAUCCGUCAAGUGGAGAUGACAACCAAACUUGGUAGCAAUCUGGAACACUCCUGACUGGCUCUUCAUCCCUCCCUGAUCUGAGUUGGCAGUCAGUCCACCAGCAGCUGUGGAGGAGGGCUAUGCACUGGGAAACUGACAGCAAGGGCACUGAAUCUUCUGCUCCAGACCCUCCUUCUCCGAGAACCUUCCAAGAAGGCAGGUGCCAAACGCGCAUAAUUUAACUUUGAAAAGGAGGUUUGUGUUAACAGGAAGAAACACAGAACAAAACAAUUGAUUGAAGACCUAUGAGGAUAAAAUUUCAAGGAAAGAAAAAUAUGGCCAAAUA